UAUCGAUUGAUUUAAUGGGUCCUUGC
This 26-nucleotide small RNA is filed under the name Bombyx mori (domestic silkworm). RNAcentral describes it as "ovarian small RNA-23657". Lineage: Eukaryota; Metazoa; Arthropoda; Insecta; Lepidoptera; Bombycidae. The record is from RNAcentral.